This 2809-nucleotide ribosomal RNA is filed under the name Nanobdellota archaeon. RNAcentral's name for it is "23S ribosomal RNA". It matches the Rfam family "Archaeal large subunit ribosomal RNA". The record is from RNAcentral. Lineage: Archaea; Nanobdellati; Nanobdellota.
AAGCAAAAUUUUUGAAACUGUUAGACGAAUAGCUUGGCUUAAAUUACGACGAAGGACGUGGCAAGCUGCGAUAAGCUUAGGCGAGCUGCAUGCGAGCAUUGAACCUAAGAUUUCCGAAUGUGAAACACUUUUAUUCCGAGAGGAAGGAAAACGCCGAGAAUUGAAACAUCUUAGUACCGGCAGGAAAAGAAAAUAAAUUAAUGAUUCCCCUAUUAGCAGCGAGCGAAAAGGGAAAAGGGCAAGCUGAAUCUUUGCUCGAAAGAGUGUAAGAGAUGUGGUGCACGUAAAUUUCUAAGUGAAUGAUUUGAAUUUUCUGGAAAGAAAGACCUUAGAAGGUGAUAGUCCUGUAAAAUAGUUCAUAUGAAAUUGUGUAUAUGAGUAGGGCCCUCUGGAUUGGGGGUCUGAAUACAGCAGAAUUAACUGCUAACCCUAAAUAUUGAUUUAAGUCAGAUAGCGCAAGAGUACCGCGAUGGAAAGCUGAAAAGUACUCUCACAAGAGGGUUAAAAGACUUGAAAUCUAACAGUUACAAGAUUGCUACUGCCCUACGGGGUUGUAGCGUACGUUUUGAAGAACGGGCCGGGGAGUUUAUCUUUGUGGCAAGGUUAAUAAAUGGAGCCGUAGCGAAAGCAAGUCUGAAAUGGGCGUUAGUCACUGAGUUAAGACCUGAUGCCAGAUGAUCUAUACCUGAACAGGAUGAAGUUUCUUGAAAAAGAAAUGGAAGUCCGAACUAGUGCUAUGUACAUGUGCUUGGAUGAUUUGGGUAUAGGGGUGAAAAGCCAUUCUAAUCUGGCGAUGGCUGGUUCCUAUUGAAAUAUGCCUGGGUAUAGUUUUGUAUUGCUUGUUAAUGAGGUAAAGUACGGAUAGGGUUUGCAGAGUCUUCUGACUACGGAACUCUUUCCAACUCAGAACUUAUUAACUGCAGAAUACAAGAAGCAGCUUCGGUGCGUAAGGUACCGUGGCGAGACCCGAAUAAGGGAGACUGAAGUUAAGGUCCCAAAAUAUUUGCUAAGUGUAUCAAAGAGAGUUUUUAUUCUAAGACAGUGGGGAUGUAGGUCCAGAAGCCGCCACCAUUUAAAGAAAGCGUAACAGCUCACCUAUCGAGAAUAGAAGCCUCGAAAAUGGACCGGGCUAAAGCAAAUUACCGAUACUUCAGAGGUAUCUAGUUAGAUACUCUGGUAAAUAGGCGUAUUUCUUGCGUCGAAGCUUCUCUGUAAAGAGGAGUGGAGCGAGAAGUAAUGCGGAUCCCGGUGGAAGUAGGAUCUGAUCUUCCUGAGAACCGGAAGAUGUCGAAAGGGCAAGGUUUCCUUGGCACUAACAAUUAUCCAAGGGUUAGUCGGUACCUAAGUUGUAUCUUAACUGAGUACGACGAUGGGCAACAGGUUAAUAUUCCUGUACUGACUAUUUUUGCUAAGAUUUCAAAUCACUUUCGGAUAGAUGGAAUACCGAGAGGUAUAAUGAAAGAGAAAUAAAUGGAUCGUAAUGAUAAGAAGUUUAUGAAUCUUCACUAAUUCGUCAACUCCAAGAGUCAGUGAAAAGUUUGAAGUAUAGAAAAUAGUUAGCCGUACCGAGAUCUAGCACUGGUGCCCUAGCUGAGAAGGCUAAGACAUGAAAGGUUAAAUUAGUUAAGGGAAUUCGGCAUAUUAGUCCCGUAUCUUCGGUAUAAGGGAUGUCUAUUUUCUUGUAUGAAUUUUUAUAUGGGAAAGUAGAUCACAGUAACAAGGAUGGCCCGACUGUUUACCAAAAACGUAGCCAAGUGCAAUUCCGAAAGGAGAUAUAUACUUGGUGAAGUCUGCCCAGUGGUGGUGUCUAAAACUCUAUUCCAAUGGAGCUAAAGCCCAUCAAACGGCGGGCGUAACUAUGACGCUCUUAAGGUAGCGUAAUGCCUUGUCGUCUGAAUGGCGACGUGCAUGAAUGGCGUAACGAGGUUGUCACUGUCCCUAACUAAAACCUUCCGAACUCAUUUACCGGUGAAAAGGCCGGUAUCGCCUAGUGGGAAGCGAAGACCUUAUAAACCUUUACUGCAGCCUGUUGUUGUGUUUUUAUUGUAAGUGCAUAGAGUAAGUAGGAGCAUCGAUGUCGCGAUUUUGGUUGCGACGGAGCAAAAGUGUAACACUACUCAUUCAUGAUGAAAAUGCUCACUUUUCUAGGACAGCAAUAGGUGGGCAGUUUGGCUGGGGCGGCGCCCGGUUGAAAAGAUAUCAAUCGGGCCUAAAGACAGGCUCAUCCAGGUCGGAAAUCUGGAGUAGAGUGUAAGGGCAAAAGCUUGUCUGACUGUUUUUCGAAAAGCAAGAAAAGCAGGGAUGAAAGUCGGGCCUAACGAACCACCAUAGCUUUUUAAUGGGGCUUGGUGAUGACAGAAAAGGUACUUUAAGGAUAACAGGCUUGUCGCUCCCGAUAGUCCACAUUGACGGGGCGGUUUGGUACAUCGCUGUCGGCUCUUCCUAUCCUGGCUGUGCACAAGCAGCCAAGGGUGUCGGAGUUCACGCAUUAAAAGGGAUCGUUAGCUGGGUUAAGAACGUCGUGAGACAGUUUGUAUGAUAUCUACUAGGUGUGUUAUUGUCUGAGUGGAACGACUCUCUAGUACGAGAGGAACGUGAGUCGGAAGCCUCUGGUGUAUCGGUUGUUAUGAGCAGGCCGAGCAGCUACGCUUUAUAUCGAUAAGAGCUGAAAGCAUCUAAGCUCGAAGCGAUCCGCAAAACGAGACAAUUAAGGCCGCAACAAAAGAUUGCGUUGAUAGAGAUGGGAUGUACGCACGAAGGCAACGACGUGUUCAGUCCGCAUCUACUAAUAGCCUCAUUAAUAUAUUCU